AGGCCUAGAUCACCGCUUUCACAAGUUCCAAGAAGGAUUUACAAAGGGCUUAGCACACUACUCAGCACACAGAAAGAUAUUGCUCAGAACCAGCUCAUCUGUCUGUCGGGAACGUGAAGGGAAAGGGACUUCUCCCAGCUCAGAGGUAAGGCGACGUGAU
Long non-coding RNA from Ornithorhynchus anatinus (platypus), 160 nucleotides. RefSeq lists it as uncharacterized. NCBI's taxonomy places the organism in Eukaryota, Metazoa, Chordata, Mammalia, Monotremata, Ornithorhynchidae. The transcript has 3 exons. The record is from RefSeq and is a predicted model, not a curated record.